Molecule: ribosomal RNA, 278 nt
Filed under: Vibrio parahaemolyticus
Lineage: Bacteria; Pseudomonadati; Pseudomonadota; Gammaproteobacteria; Vibrionales; Vibrionaceae
Description: partial 16S ribosomal RNA
Rfam family: Bacterial small subunit ribosomal RNA
Source: RNAcentral
AAUUGCCCUGAUGUGGGGGAUAACCAUUGGAAACGAUGGCUAAUACCGCAUGAUGCCUACGGGCCAAAGAGGGGGACCUUCGGGCCUCUCGCGUCAGGAUAUGCCUAGGUGGGAUUAGCUAGUUGGUGAGGUAAGGGCUCACCAAGGCGACGAUCCCUAGCUGGUCUGAGAGGAUGAUCAGCCACACUGGAACUGAGACACGGUCCAGACUCCUACGGGAGGCAGCAGUGGGGAAUAUUGCACAAUGGGCGCAAGCCUGAUGCAGCCAUGCCGCGUGU